Molecule: unclassified non-coding RNA, 152 nt
Filed under: soil metagenome
Description: partial internal transcribed spacer 1
Source: RNAcentral
GCGAGUAUGGCCCUCACGGGUCUAAUCCACCAUAAACACCUUUGUGAACCAGUCAGGGGGACUCGGCCGCUGAAAGCCCAGGCGAUUAGCGGAAGGGCCCUCCUUUGCAAACCCGUUUAGAAGUCUUGAAAGUACUUUUGUAUAAUCUAGUA